GUUCUACUCCAUACACUCCAUAUAUAGGUUCUACUCCCCCUUUUUGUCAUCAACAAUGAAGGGGACAAAUUAUCCUUGGGUACUUAAGACACAAUUCCUAGUGGAAUUCAGCAUAUUACUAUGAAUCACUCAAGGAUAUUCAAGUUAUGCUCCCUCUGUCCAAGUUUUUGUUUAUUAAUGAAUUCAGCAUUCAUUUCACUCCCCCUUUGUUUUGGAAUUCAUUUCAGACCUUUUAAAGGUAGUUGUGCUCCCCCUGUUUCAUAUGCAUUGAUAAGUUGUGUCAAAUUUGAACACUUAAGGUAUGUUAUGAGAUUUUUAUGGCACAUCACAGAUUUACAUACACAAGAUUUGAUUCCACAGGAUUAGAAACAUACACAAAAUUUCAAAGAAAUUGUAUGACAUUCAUAUAUCAUUUCAAUCAUUUGAAGUCAUUACAAGGUUAAAAGGAAAGGAAAUCAUUACAAGUAUUGAUUCCUAAUACAAAAGAAGUUUCAAAAUUAGCCUAGGGCUUUACAAAAGGAUGAACCCUAGAUGUUUACAAACUGUCCUUCAACGGCGACGUUGCUCAAUAGCCCUAGCAGCUGCCUCUAUAAAUGCAUUAAUUGAAUCCAUUAGGGUUCUAAACUGAUCUCCCUAAGAUUGAUUGAAAGCAGCCACUAAUGCUUCGAACUCCCGGGAUGCCCUGUCAAUCUUUCCUCUAAGUUGGGCAGCCACACUGCCCACAUUGCCUCCAGGGCUCGUCAAUUCUUGAAGACUAUCUGAUAUGUUCUUCAAGUCAGCCUGUAACUCAAUUGAUCUUAAAGUUUGAGUUGUACC
RNAcentral lists this long non-coding RNA (816 nucleotides) under Phoenix dactylifera (date palm). RNAcentral describes it as "long non-coding RNA (PDAC_LNC011622)". The record is from RNAcentral. Lineage: Eukaryota; Viridiplantae; Streptophyta; Magnoliopsida; Arecales; Arecaceae.